GACGAACGCUGGCGGCGUGCUUAACACAUGCAAGUCGAACGCUGAAGCUCAGCUUUUGUUGGGUGGAUGAGUGGCGAACGGGUGAGUAACACGUGAGUAACCUGCCCUCUUCUUUGGGAUAACGCCCGGAAACGGGUGCUAAUACUGGAUAUUCACUGAUCUUCGCAUGGGGGUUGGUGGAAAGGUUUGUUCUGGUGGGGGAUGGGCUCGCGGCCUAUCAGCUUGUUGGUGGGGUGAUGGCCUACCAAGGCUUUGACGGGUAGCCGGCCUGAGAGGGUGACCGGUCACAUUGGGACUGAGAUACGGCCCAGACUCCUACGGGAGGCAGCAGUGGGGAAUAUUGCACAAUGGGCGAAAGCCUGAUGCAGCGACGCCGCGUGAGGGAUGGAGGCCUUCGGGUUGUAAACCUCUUUCGCUCAUGGUCAAGCCGCAACUGUGGGUUGUG
This 445-nucleotide ribosomal RNA is filed under the name Actinomyces sp. oral taxon 172. RNAcentral's name for it is "bacterial SSU rRNA". It matches the Rfam family "Bacterial small subunit ribosomal RNA", at positions 28 to 480 of the family's 1533-position model. The record is from RNAcentral. Lineage: Bacteria; Bacillati; Actinomycetota; Actinomycetes; Actinomycetales; Actinomycetaceae.